AGGGUCCGUAGGCGGGCUAUUAAGUCAGGGGUGAAAGUUUGCAGCUCAACUGUAAAAUUGCCUUUGAUACUGGUAGUCUUGAGUUAUAGUGAAGUGGUUAGAAUAUGUGGUGUAGCGGUGAAAUGCAUAGAUAUCACAUAGAAUACCAAUUGCGAAGGCAGAUCACUAACUAUAUACUGACGCUGAUGGACGAAAGCGUGGGGAGCGAACGGGAUUAGAUACCCCGGUAGUCCACGCCGUAAACGAUGGAUACUAGCUGUUGGAUUUUUUCAGUGGCUAAGCGAAAGUGAUAAGUAUCCCACCUGGGGAGUACGUUCGCAAGAAUGAAACUCAAAGGAAUUGACGGGGGCCCGCACAAGCGGUGGAGCAUGUGGUUUAAUUCGAUGAUACGCGAGGAACCUUACCAGGGCUUAAAUGGGAAAUGACAGGGGCAGAGACGCCCCCUUCUUCGGACAUUUUUCAAGGUGCUGCAUGGUUGUCGUCAGCUCGUGCCGUGAGGUGUCAGGUUAAAGUCCCUAUAAACGAGCGCAACCCCCUA
This 538-nucleotide ribosomal RNA is filed under the name uncultured bacterium. RNAcentral describes it as "bacterial SSU rRNA". It matches the Rfam family "Bacterial small subunit ribosomal RNA", at positions 564 to 1108 of the family's 1533-position model. The record is from RNAcentral.